UCGAGGGGCAGCACAGGUAGCAAUACCGGGUGGCGACCGGCGCACGGGUGAGUAACGCGUAUGCAACUUACCUAUCAGAGGGGGAUAACCCGGCGAAAGUCGGACUAAUACCGCAUGAAGCAGGGGCCCCGCAUGGGGAUAUUUGCUAAAGAUUCAUCGCUGAUAGAUAGGCAUGCGUUCCAUUAGGCAGUUGGCGGGGUAACGGCCCACCAAACCGACGAUGGAUAGGGGUUCUGAGAGGAAGGUCCCCCACAUUGGUACUGAGACACGGACCAAACUCCUACGGGAGGCAGCAGUGAGGAAUAUUGGUCAAUGGGCGUAAGCCUGAACCAGCCAAGUCGCGUGAGGGAUGAAGGUUCUAUGGAUCGUAAACCUCUUUUAUAAGGGAAUAAAGUGCGGGACGUGUCCUGUUUUGUAUGUACCUUAUGAAUAAGGAUCGGCUAACUCCGUGCCAGCAGCCGCGGUAAUACGGAGGAUCCGAGCGUUAUCCGGAUUUAUUGGGUUUAAAGGGUGCGUAGGCGGCCUUUUAAGUCAGCGGUGAAAGUCUGUGGCUCAACCGUAGAAUUGCCGUUGAAACUGGGGGGCUUGAGUAUGUUUGAGGCAGGCGGAAUGCGUGGUGUAGCGGUGAAAUGCUUAGAUAUCACGCAGAACCCCGAUUGCGAAGGCAGCCUGCCAAGCCAUGACUGACGCUGAUGCACGAAAGCGUGGGGAUCAAACAGGAUUAGAUACCCUGGUAGUCCACGCAGUAAACGAUGAUCACUAGCUGUUUGCGAUACAGUGUAAGCGGCACAGCGAAAGCGUUAAGUGAUCCACC
RNAcentral lists this ribosomal RNA (814 nucleotides) under uncultured bacterium. Its description in RNAcentral is "bacterial SSU rRNA". It matches the Rfam family "Bacterial small subunit ribosomal RNA", at positions 62 to 873 of the family's 1533-position model. The record is from RNAcentral.